This 28-nucleotide small RNA is filed under the name Bombyx mori (domestic silkworm). RNAcentral's name for it is "ovarian small RNA-9163". Lineage: Eukaryota; Metazoa; Arthropoda; Insecta; Lepidoptera; Bombycidae. The record is from RNAcentral.
UGUUAUAGAUGGACACCAUAUGUGGUUC